Molecule: long non-coding RNA, 380 nt
Filed under: Pongo abelii (Sumatran orangutan)
Lineage: Eukaryota; Metazoa; Chordata; Mammalia; Primates; Hominidae
Description: lincRNA
Source: RNAcentral
GAACUGAUUCUGCAAUAAGUAAAGUCAAUGAAGAAAGUAAGAGGAUUGCAAAGGUUUCCCCGCGAUUCUGCCAACAGAAAUGUUUUUAUUGUGCUGCUUUGGGCUUGGAAAAAAAAACAGUGAAACAUUUCCAACUACAAUUUAAAGGAAUACGUGUCGUUUAUUUAAAACAUAAAUCAGCAAACAGAGAGACAUAAAAUUGCUAGUGGACUGCUUCAAGUUCAGAAGCCACUGCCCUGGUAGAGGAGUUACCAAUGAUCACACAUCCUAUAGGAAUCGGACUACAGUGGCCCUGAGCUGAAACAGCAUGCGUUCCAUGCUCUUUUGCAUAAUUUGCCUACUUCUUCUCAUAUUUUGUAAAUAUAAAAUCUACUUCUGGU